GUGCAUGAACUUAACCACUCGGCCACAGGGCCGGCCCUUCCUAAGUCUUUUGAUAUAGCCAUAUUGCUUCCCAAAAAUCUCGAACCAAUCUUUACUUCCACCCAUGUUUUAAGAGAAUGCCUGUUUCAUCAAACACUUGUGAAUAAAGGAUUAUCCUUUAAAAUCUAUGUCCAUUAGAUAAAAAAUAUCUUGCAGUUUUUAUUUGGUUUUGUCUGAUUCGCAGUGAAUUGAGACAUGAUCAUAGAAGGAAAAAGCAUGAAAUCCUCUUCUCCCCAUUUCUUGGGUGAAGUGGGGUAUCUUUUACUGUAGCGGGGGCACAGAGCUUCUUUUAUAUAGCCAUGCUCCCAAUUGGUUGUUCUGGGAAUUAAGUGCUUUUUUCUACGUUUUUUUGUCAGAGGCAUGACGCGUUUUCACCCUAGCCCUACGGCAGAUUAUUUGUUGAUUUGGGCGCCUGAUUUUAACUCCUGAGUCUGUAGCCCAUGAAUUGCCCCUGUUGCUAUAGGGUGGAGACACUGCUAUGGCCACUCUCCUCUGCCAGGACGAGUCAGGAAGUGGACAAACGGCCGGGAAGACAAUGCGCCCCUGCCUGUGCUUCUCGCUGCGCCAGCCCUGCCGCCUUUCCCCGGAGCCGGCGUUCCCUCACCCGCUCAAGGAUGGUGACCUGCAAUUAUCUCCUUGUUUCUGCAUCAUUUUCCCCUUCCCCGCUGGAUCGUUCUUUCUCUGACUGUUGCCCAUCAUCUCCUUAAUAGCAAAACUUCCUGAAAGAGCUGCCUAUAUUCAGUUUCACUUUUUAUUUAUGUUUUUGGAAACCCGCUCCAAUCAGACUUCUAUCCCCCAAAGAAACCUUUCUCAAUAAGAUUACCAGUUAUCUCCUCAUGGCCAAGCAGAGUGGUCCUUCUCCAUCCGCAGUGGCAUUCGACGAAGGACUCCAGUGAAGUAUAAUUUCCUGCUAAAAGGAAAGACUGUUGGGAGCAAUUCUGGCACUCAGGAGCAUACAGGAAUGUGAUGACUCCCGGGCAGAGAGCCUAUGCUGAUAGCCAUCAUGAUGACAACUGAAUGAUCAGGGAGUAGGGCAUUGCUUCAUUCUCUGAUGCAUAUCCAGUAAACAAAGGACUAUCAGGAACUGGGACCAGAGGUCUACCUCCACCCAGAGACCAGCCACCUCCCCACCUGGAGACCAGCCCCAUAUGUAACUGGCCUGUAGUCUUUGUUCUGUAAGAUGGUUCUUUUGCACAUGAGUUGGCCAUCUUCCCUCUUGCUAUCAAGCUGUAAUAAAGAAACCCUUUCUCUCCUCCUACCUUGCCUCUUUACUAUUGGCAUGUCUUGCAGUGGGCAGAUGACCCACCUUGGGCAGUAACAGAUGUGGCUUCCUGGAGGUAACUCAGGAGUUGGUGGAGCUUGGACUGGAGCCCUGGUCCCCUAACAGAGGGCUCUUCCCCUGGCUCCACACUGAGGAGGUGGUUGCAAAACAUGAGGCUCAGCCCUGCCUCCAAGAUGCAAGAAGGAGGAAGGAGGGUGGAGUACUUGUGGCUUACGUGAGAAAAAAAUCUUGGGCUGAUCCAAGAACUCUGUAAUUUAUGCUUAGUCCAGUUUCCUAGGAAUUGGUUCUUAGAAUAAGACUAAUAGCUAUGAACUCAGACUUUUCAUUGGAAGACUUAAAAUAUUAUUCUUGCUUUUUGUUGUUGAGUGCCAAGAACUAUCAGGCUUUGGGAGUCCCAAAGGCAGGAAAUGUGAGCCACGAAUGUCAGACCCUGUGUGACCUUGUGUCACCGACUAGUUGCCCCAAGGAACUCAAGGGUGGGUUUGGAUAUUUCAACU
Molecule: long non-coding RNA, 1818 nt
Organism: Equus caballus (horse)
Lineage: Eukaryota; Metazoa; Chordata; Mammalia; Perissodactyla; Equidae
Source: RefSeq, a predicted model, not a curated record